RNAcentral lists this ribosomal RNA (791 nucleotides) under uncultured bacterium. RNAcentral's name for it is "bacterial SSU rRNA". It matches the Rfam family "Bacterial small subunit ribosomal RNA", at positions 8 to 794 of the family's 1533-position model. The record is from RNAcentral.
AGAGUUUGAUCAUGGCUCAGGAUGAACGCUAGCGGCAGGCUUAACACAUGCAAGUCGAGGGGCAGCACGAGUAGCAAUGCUUGGUGGCGACCGGCGCAAGGGUGCGUAACGCGUGAGCAACAUGCCCGUAUCAGGGGGAUAAUCCAGGGAAACUUGGUCUAAUACCCCAUAGUAAUCAUAUCAGGCAUCUGGUAUGAUUUAAAGCUUAGGUGGAUACGGAUUGGCUCGCGUGACAUUAGCUAGAUGGUAAGGUAACGGCUUACCAUGGCUAUGAUGUCUAGGGGUUCUGAGAGGAAGGUCCCCCACACUGGAACUGAGACACGGUCCAGACUCCUACGGGAGGCAGCAGUGAGGAAUAUUGGACAAUGGAUGGAAAUCUGAUCCAGCCAUGCCGCGUGCAGGAAGAAUGUCCUAUGGAUUGUAAACUGCUUUUGUAUGGGAGCAAUAAGGUCUUCGUGAAGGCCGAUGAGAGUACCAUACGAAUAAGCACCGGCUAACUCCGUGCCAGCAGCCGCGGUAAUACGGAGGGUGCAAGCGUUAUCCGGAUUUAUUGGGUUUAAAGGGUGCGUAGGCGGUUAUAUAAGUCAGCGGUGAAAUUUUUCGGCUCAACCGGAAACAUGCCGUUGAUACUGUAUAGCUUGAAUAUGGUUGCUGUGAGUGGAAUGUGUAGUGUAGCGGUGAAAUGCUUAGAUAUUACACAGAAUAUCGAUUGCGAAGGCAACUCACAAGGCCAUUAUUGACGCUGAGGCACGAAAGUGUGGGGAUCAAACAGGAUUAGAUACCCUGGUAGU